GGACGGGUGAGGAAUACAUCGGAAUCUACCUUUUCGUGGGGGAUAACGUAGGGAAACUUACGCUAAUACCGCAUACGACCUACGGGUGAAAGUGGGGGACCGCAAGGCCUCACGCGAUUAGAUGAGCCGAUGUCCGAUUAGCUAGUUGGCGGGGUAAUGGCCCACCAAGGCGACGAUCGGUAGCUGGUCUGAGAGGAUGAUCAGCCACACUGGAACUGAGACACGGUCCAGACUCCUACGGGAGGCAGCAGUGGGGAAUAUUGGACAAUGGGCGCAAGCCUGAUCCAGCCAUACCGCGUGGGUGAAGAAGGCCUUCGGGUUGUAAAGCCCUUUUGUUGGGAAAGAAAUCCUGUCGAUUAAUACUCGGUGGGGAUGACGGUACCCAAAGAAUAAGCACCGGCUAACUUCGUGCCAGCAGCCGCGGUAAUACGAAGGGUGCAAGCGUUACUCGGAAUUACUGGGCGUAAAGCGUGCGUAGGUGGUGGUUUAAGUCUGCUGUGAAAGCCCUGGGCUCAACCUGGGAAUUGCAGUGGAUACUGGAUCACUAGAGUGUGGUAGAGGGAUGCGGAAUUUCUGGUGUAGCAGUGAAAUGCGUAGAGAUCAGAAGGAACAUCCGUGGCGAAGGCGGCAUCCUGGGCCAACACUGACACUGAGGCACGAAAGCGUGGGGAGCAAACAGGAUUAGAUACCCAGGUAGUCCGCGCCCUAAACGAUGCGAACUGGAUGUUGGGUGCAACUUGGCACCCAGUAUCGAAGCUAACGCGUUAAGUUCGCCGCCUGGGGAGUACGGUCGCAAGACUGAAACUCAAAGGAAUUGACGGGGGCC
Molecule: ribosomal RNA, 826 nt
Filed under: uncultured bacterium
Lineage: Bacteria
Description: bacterial SSU rRNA
Rfam family: Bacterial small subunit ribosomal RNA
Source: RNAcentral